GAGGCGGGAGCCAGGCCCGUCACUGACCGCCGCGGCGCCGUGAGUCCCGGGCGGGCAAGGAGGCGCGGGCCGUCCCUGGCCAACACGUGGCACCGCUCCAUGCUGCGCGGCGCGGCUGAGGACCGUGACAAACACUCAUCGUUGGGUGGGGCUCUAGUGCAGUCCGUUGGUGCCAAUAUUUUAUAAGCGACGUUUUCAAACUAUGUGAAGAUCCUUUCUUUUCUUUUCUUUGUUUUUUGUUUUUGUUUUUGUUUUUUUUUGAGACGGAAUCUCGCUCUGUCGCCCGGGCUGGAGUGCAGUGGCGCGAUCUCGGCUCACUGCAACCUGCGCCUCCCAGGUUCACGCGAUUCUCCUGCCUCAGUCUCCUGAGUAGCUGGGACUACGGGCGCCCAUCACCACACCCGGCUAAUUUUUUGUAUCUUUAGUAGAGACGGAGUUUCACUAUGUUGGCCAGACUGGUCUCGAACUCCUGACCUCAGGUGAUCUGCCCGCCUCAGCCUCCCAAAGUGCUGGGAUUACAGGCGUGAGCCACCAUUCUCGGCUGAAGAUCCAUUUUAAGAAGAUUUAUUCCUCUAUGAUGGAGAAGUAUGAAAAAAUUGGGAAAAUUGGAGAAGGAUCCUAUGGAGUUGUUUUCAAAUGUAGAAACAGGGACACGGGUCAGAUUGUGGCCAUCAAGAAGUUUCUGGAAUCAGAAGAUGACCCUGUCAUAAAGAAAAUUGCCCUUCGGGAAAUCCGAAUGCUCAAGCAACUCAAGCAUCCCAACCUUGUUAACCUCCUGGAAGUCUUCAGGAGGAAACGGAGGCUUCACCUGGUGUUUGAAUAUUGUGACCACACAGUUCUCCAUGAGUUGGACAGAUACCAAAGAGGGGUACCAGAACAUCUUGUGAAGAGCAUAACUUGGCAGACACUGCAAGCUGUAAAUUUUUGCCAUAAACACAAUUGCAUACAUAGAGACGUGAAGCCAGAAAAUAUCCUCAUCACAAAACAUUCCGUGAUUAAGCUCUGUGACUUUGGAUUUGCUCGGCUUUUGACUGGACCGAGUGACUACUAUACAGACUACGUGGCUACCAGGUGGUACCGCUCCCCUGAGCUGCUGGUGGGGGACACGCAGUACGGCCCCCCGGUGGAUGUUUGGGCAAUUGGCUGUGUCUUUGCUGAGCUGCUGUCAGGAGUGCCUCUGUGGCCAGGAAAAUCGGAUGUGGAUCAGCUGUAUCUGAUUAGGAAGACCUUGGGGGAUCUCAUUCCUAGGCACCAGCAAGUGUUUAGCAUGAAUCAGUACUUCAGUGGAGUGAAAAUUCCAGACCCUGAAGAUAUGGAACCACUUGAAUUAAAAUUCCCAAACAUCUCUUAUCCUGCCCUGGGGCUCCUAAAGAGUUUCAUCUUUCAAAGAAGAAAAAAAUGACAUUAAUAAGUUAAUACAAUUUUGAAGAAGUAAGAAGAAGGAAUUUUCUGUUCUUUUAGGGCUGUCUCCACAUGGACCCUACUGAAAGGCUGACAUGUGAACAGCUGUUGCAUCACCCAUAUUUUGAAAACAUCAGAGAAAUAGAGGAUUUGGCAAAAGAACAUGACAAACCAACAAGGAAGACCCUAAGAAAGAGCCGAAAGCACCACUGCUUUACAGAAACAUCCAAGGUUAUAAUUUCAAAUGAUCUCCUACCUGCCACCUGGUACAGAGAGUUGGAAUCUAGACUUGAGGAUGGCAGUUGUGGCUUUCAGCUCCAGCAUCCUCAUUCCAGCACUGGGAGACAGGUCAUAGGAUCUAUCAACCAGGGCCCCAGGGACAUCUGUCUCCUGAAGCCCCCUCUCCCUGAAUCCUAAAGGUGCCCUUGUCCUGCUGCUUCCUGAUGCCACACAGGGGCCAGGGUUUCCGGCCUGCAUGAGCACAGGUCUCAACAAGUUGCAGUACCUACCCCAGCUAACUGGCAGCAGCAUCCUUCCAGCUUUGGAUAAUAAGAAGUACUACUGUAAUACCAAGAAACUUAACUACCGUUUUCCAAACAUUUAAAGGAGCUAGGAGACAUGAUUUUAAAAAAGGAAUCAAUAGAUGCUUUGAAGAAAAUAAAACUUAUACAGUUGAUUGAAAACAAUUACAAUGUUGAAAACACACCAGGAGAAAACAUAAGCAAGAAACUGGGAGGCCAACUGGCAAGAUAUGAAGGGAAAUUCCAGAUCCAGUCUUCCAUGCUUGAUGAUGGUGUCCAGAAAAGAAAAAACCUGUUUGGAGUUGCACUUGUAUUUCAGUUUAUGUAAGUAGCCGAACUUAUGGACAGAAUAUGAACUGUCCCAUACCUCUGGCAAAACUAGAUGAUAUCAAAAAGAUUUAUGCUUCAGUUGUACCACAUGCCACACAAGAAAAAUGAACCACAAAAUGCCCAUAUAUAUUUCCUCGGAUCUCUGUUGCCUGAGUCCUAUCUCCUGCCUCUCAGAUUGUUUCAGCAUCAUAUUUAAGAUAGUUCUAUUUCUUGAAAUCAAAAUGUUUAAAAUCCCAUUUCCUGCUUGCUCUAUUUCUUGAUUUUUAUAUUUUAAAACAUUUUGAGGGUAACACUUAGGUUCAAUAUAUUUAAAAGCAUAUGAAUUAUCACAAAAGCUUGGUAAUUUAUAUAUUUAAUUAUAUGUUUCCACAUUUCAUCCUUACUUUAUCAGUAAAGGAUACACCUUAGUCACUUUUGCAGGCAAGGUGGAUUUACUGUAAUCUGUCUACAUUUAUUCACCCAAUUCCCCUUCUAAACAAUGGCAUGAAGCUCGGCAGCUGAUUAAGGCAGUCAAAGGGUAGAGCAAGACCUACCGGCUUUGCAGGAACUGAACCUAUCAGCCUGAAAAUAAUUAGUAUUUCAUUCUCUCUGGCACAGCCUUUGACCUGGUACAUCUAUAGGCAAACCUGUAAUUCAGUGAUCUGGGUUUCAGAAGAAAUUACUUGUGAGCUUUUACUUGAGUCAUGAAAGACAUUAUGUUGUAAACUGAUGUUUUCCCUGAAACAUCUUUUUGCACUAUGUUUGUAUGUGUAUGUAUGUGUAUGUAUAUAUAUAUAUGCUAUUCUAACAACUAAUAUAUUACACUAAGUAGUCCAAAGUAUUGAGGACUCAUAGCUUUGCACAGCAAGACUUAAAAUGAUGACACACACACACACACACACACACACACACACACACACACACACAUAUAUAUAAAACCUCCCACCUCAGCCUCCUAAGUAGCUGGGACUGCAGGCAUGUGCCACUAUACUGGCUAAUUUUUUUGUAUUUUUUGGUAGAGGCAGGGUUUUGCCAUGUUCCCCAGGCUGGUCUUGAACUCCUGGGCUCACAUGAUCUGAGCGCCUUGGCCUUCCAAAGUGCUGGCAUUACAGGCAUGAGCCACUGCGCCUGGCCAAAAUGACAUAAUUAGCUUUGAUUUGGUCUACUGCUCUUAAUCAAAAAGCUUUUUCAUCCUUGUCCCCUGGACACAAGGGCAAUAUGAAGCCUGACGUCUGUUUCUUACAGCUCAACACCAUUUCUGGUUGAUGUGCUGCCACUAUUCCUAGCACUUCUCAGCAUGGUCUUCAAAGUUGUAUUUCACUCUAUUUUCAAAACAUUUCUUCUGUACUCUCAUUUUCUUCCUGUUAAUUUUCUUCAUGAUGACAUCUGACCCCAUUUACUUAAGUAAUCCACUGAGGUCUGGUGUCUAUUCAAUAAUUUUGACUACCCUAGGCAGUUUAAUGAUAUCCUAAGGCUUCCUAAUGUAUGUCGUUUCUUGCCUAGACCUGAUAUGGGUUAAAUGCUAGUCCCUGAAUUAUUCAAUUCCUGUUAGACGGCCUUGAUUCAAAUGACAAGGAAGAACAUCCAGCUUCCGUGAAUAGUUAAAAAAAAAUUUUUUUUUUCCUUAACCCAAGAAAAUACACUUGACGGAGGCAGAUUACUAUAACAGCCUAAUAAUUCAGCCAAUAGUUUUACCAAAAACUAUUCAGAAUAGAAAAGUAGCUCUAGACUAAAUCGUGGUGAAUCAGUUGUCUCACCAUACAGUAAUGAAACAAACCUGAGAAAAAAGGCUUAUUUUUUUCUAAUGAGUUCCGUUAAAUUUAUGCUUAUGUUCAAUUUAACCAUAUUUAUAAUGCUUUUAUUCGGUAUGAAAUCUCCACUGUAUCACAUGAGACUCUUCCACAUCCUUUUAUUUACUAUUUUCUGAUUUUUAAAAUGACAGUGGCAAUUACCAUUUAUACUAUGUGUUAUUUGUAUAAGCUGUUAAACACAACGUUGUUAAACACAACGUAAAUUCAUUUUUCUACCUGAAAGCUGUAUCAUAGAAAAUUAUUUUCAAGUUUAUAUUCAACAGCUUAAUAAUGUUCAAACCAGGCUGGACGCGGUGGCUCCCAGCACUUUGGGAGGCCGAGGCGGGUGGAUCCUGAGGUUAGGAGUUCAAGACCAGUCUGGCCAAGAUGGUGAAACCCUGUCUCUACUAAAAGUACAAAAAUUAGCUGGGCGUGGUGGUGGGCGCCUGUAAUCCCAGCUACCUGGGACGCUGAGGCAGAGAACUGCUUGAACCCGGGAGGCAGAGGUUGCAGUGAACUGAGAUCACACCACUGCACUCCAACCUGGGCAACGGAGUGAGAGUCUGUCUCAAAAAAAAAAAAAAAAAAAAAAAAAAAGUUCAAAUCAAACACACAGAAAUCUAUAAACAAGCUGGCAUAUAAGAGUAAUAGAAUCAGGGCCAUUUCUCACAGGUAACAAUGAAGACCUGUUUUAUCUAUUUUUGACUUUUUUUUUUUUUUUUGAGACAGGGUCUUAAUCUGUUGCCCAGGCUGGAGUGCAGUAGUGCCAACAUGGCUCACUGCAGCCUCGACUUCCCGGGCUCAACUCUUCUCCUACCUCAGACUCCUGAGUAGUUGGGACUACAGGCAUGUGCCACUACACCCAGCUAUUUUUUAUUUUUUAAUUUUUUGGUAGAGACAGGGUUUUGCCACGUUGCCCAGGCUCGUCCUGAACUCCUGGGCUCAAAUGAUCUGCCUGCCUUGGCCUUCAAAAGUGCUGGGAUUACAGGCCAGCCCUUUUUUUUAAGAGACAGGUCUCCCCCUUUCACCCAGGCUACCAGGCUGGUGUGCAGUGGCCGUGAUCAUAGCUUACUGCAGCCUCAAACUCCUGAGCUCAAGCAAUCCUACCACCUCAACCUCCCAAGUAUCUGAGAUUACAGGUAUGCACCACCAUGCCUGCCUAAUUUUUAAAAUUUUUUUAGAGAUGGGGUCUCGCUGUGUUGCCCAAAUUGGUCUCAAACUCCUGGUCUCAAGUGAUCCUCCCACCUCAGCCUCCCAAAGCACUGGGAUUACAGGCACGAGCCACGGCACCCAGCCUAAAGCAAUGUUAGGUUUCAAGAAAAACCUAAGCAUAGCCCACUGGUUUUUAUUGUUUCCUUUAUUAUAUUGCAAUCUGCAAAACUAUUUGUAUUCAGCCAAGUAUCUAUGUCCAGUUUUAAUAAAAUAGUAGCCUAAGCUUACAAAAUAGACAAAUUAAGCAGCAACUGUUGAUUCUGAGAAAGUCUGUAUGCUAUCAAGAACACAAGAAUGCAGGAUCAUGGGAAAUGCACGCAAAUCCUGUUGAAGCAAUGCAUGCUUCAACAACCACUGACCACUUUGCAUAAUUGACUCCAUCAAUGAAUCUGUAAUUUACCUUCUAAUUUUUCAUAAUUGUGCAUUUAUGGUAGUAUGCUUCACUAACUUUAAAGUUAAAUGUAAAUUACUGUUAUAAUAAAAACAUCUGUUGUACAAAUAA
This is an RNA transcript of Pan troglodytes (chimpanzee), 5735 nucleotides long. It is a transcript of the gene named cyclin dependent kinase like 1, with no coding region annotated. Lineage: Eukaryota; Metazoa; Chordata; Mammalia; Primates; Hominidae. The transcript is spliced from 10 exons. The record is from RefSeq and is a predicted model, not a curated record.